RNAcentral lists this ribosomal RNA (253 nucleotides) under uncultured prokaryote. Its description in RNAcentral is "partial 16S ribosomal RNA". It matches the Rfam family "Bacterial small subunit ribosomal RNA", at positions 525 to 777 of the family's 1533-position model. The record is from RNAcentral.
ACAGAGGGUGCGAGCGUUGUCCGGAAUCACCGGGCGUAAAGGGCGCGUAGGCGGCGCGGUAAGCGUGCGGUGAAAGCCCGGGGCUCAACCCCGGGUCGGCCGUGCGGACUGCCGGGCUGGAGCACUGUAGAGGCAGGUGGAAUUCCGGGUGUAGCGGUGGAAUGCGUAGAGAUCCGGAGGAACACCUGUGGCGAAAGCGGCUCUCUGGACCACAACUGACGCUGAGGCGCGAAAGCUAGGGGAGCAAACAGGA